AACGAACGCUGGCGGCAUGCCUAACACAUGCCAGUCGAACGAGACCUUCGGGUCUAGUGGCGCACGGGUGCGUAACGCGUGGGAACCUGCCCUUAGGUUCGGAAUAACUCCCCGAAAGGGGUGCUAAUACCGGAUAAUGUCUUCGGACCAAAGAUUUAUCGCCUUUGGAUGGGCCCGCGUUGGAUUAGCUAGUUGGUAGGGUAAAAGCCUACCAAGGCGCCGAUCCAUAGCUGGUCUGAGAGGAUGAUCAGCCACACUGGGACUGAGACACGGCCCAGACUCCUACGGGAGGCAGCAGUGGGGAAUAUUGGACAAGGGGCGAAAGCCUGAUCCAGCAAUGCCGCGUGAGUGAUGAAGGCCUUAGGGUUGUAAAGCUCUUUUACCCGGGAUGAUAAUGACAGUACCGGGAGAAUAAGCUCCGGCUAACUCCGUG
RNAcentral lists this ribosomal RNA (433 nucleotides) under uncultured bacterium. RNAcentral describes it as "partial 16S ribosomal RNA". It matches the Rfam family "Bacterial small subunit ribosomal RNA", at positions 29 to 507 of the family's 1533-position model. The record is from RNAcentral.